ACCUGCCUGUAAGACUGGGAUAACUCCGGGAAACCGGGGCUAAUACCGGAUGCUUGAUUGAACCGCAUGGUUCAAUCCUAAAAGGGGGCUUUUAGCUUCCACUUACAGAUGGACCCGCGGCGCAUUAACUAGUUGGUGAGGUAACGGCUCACCAAGGCGACGAUGCGUAGCCGACCUGAGAGGGUGAUCGGCCACACUGGGACUGAAACACGGCCCAAACUCCUACGGGAGGCAGCAGUAGGGAAUCUUCCGCAAUGGACGAAAGUCUGACGGAGCAACGCCGCGUGAGUGAUGAAGGUUUUCGGAUCGUAAAACUCUGUUGUUAGGGAAGAACAAGUACCGUUCGAAUAGGGCGGCACCUUGACGGUACCUAACCAGAAAGCCACGGCUAACUACGUGCCAGCAGCCGCGGUAAUACGUAGGUGGCAAGCGUUGUCCGGAAUUAUUGGGCGUAAAGCGCGCGCAGGCGGUUUCUUAAGUCUGAUGUGAAAGCCCCCGGCUCAACCGGGGAGGGUCAUUGGAAACUGGGGAACUUGAGUGCAGAAGAGGAGAGUGGAAUUCCACGUGUAGCGGUGAAAUGCGUAGAGAUGUGGAGGAACACCAGUGGCGAAGGCGACUCUCUGGUCUGUAACUGACGCUGAGGCGCGAAAGCGUGGGGAGCGAACAGGAUUAGAUACCCUGGUAGUCCACGCCGUAAACGAUGAGUGCUAAGUGUUAGAGGGUUUCCGCCCUUUAGUGCUGCAGCAAACGCAUUAAGCACUCCGCCUGGGGAGUACGGUCGCAAGACUGAAACUCAAAGGAAUUGACGGGGGCCCGCACAAGCGGUGGAGCAUGUGGUUUAAUUCGAAGCAACGCGAAGAACCUUACCAGGUCUUGACAUCCUCUGACAACCCUAGAGAUAGGGCUUCCCCUUCGGGGGCAGAGUGACAGGUGGUGCAUGGUUGUCGUCAGCUCGUGUCGUGAGAUGUUGGGUUAAGUCCCGCAACGAGCGCAACCCUUGAUCUUAGUUGCCAGCAUUCAGUUGGGCACUCUAAGGUGACUGCCGGUGACAAACCGGAGGAAGGUGGGGAUGACGUCAAAUCAUCAUGCCCCUUAUGACCUGGGCUACACACGUGCUACAAUGGGCAGAACAAAGGGCAGCGAAGCCGCGAGGCUAAGCCAAUCCCACAAAUCUGUUCUCAGUUCGGAUCGCAGUCUGCAACUCGACUGCGUGAAGCUGGAAUCGCUAGUAAUCGCGGAUCAGCAUGCCGCGGUGAAUACGUUCCCGGGCCUUGUACACACCGCCCGUCACACCACGAGAGUUUGUAACACC
RNAcentral lists this ribosomal RNA (1312 nucleotides) under Bacillus sp. SWCR1/2X50_5. RNAcentral's name for it is "bacterial SSU rRNA". It matches the Rfam family "Bacterial small subunit ribosomal RNA", at positions 124 to 1421 of the family's 1533-position model. The record is from RNAcentral. Lineage: Bacteria; Bacillati; Bacillota; Bacilli; Caryophanales; Bacillaceae.